This 2925-nucleotide ribosomal RNA is filed under the name Escherichia coli. RNAcentral describes it as "partial 23S ribosomal RNA". It matches the Rfam family "Bacterial large subunit ribosomal RNA". Lineage: Bacteria; Pseudomonadati; Pseudomonadota; Gammaproteobacteria; Enterobacterales; Enterobacteriaceae. The record is from RNAcentral.
GGGUUGUGAGGUUAAGCGACUAAGCGUACACGGUGGAUGCCCUGGCAGUCAGAGGCGAUGAAGGACGUGCUAAUCUGCGAUAAGCGUCGGUAAGGUGAUAUGAACCGUUAUAACCGGCGAUUUCCGAAUGGGGAAACCCAGUGUGUUUCGACACACUAUCAUUAACUGAAUCCAUAGGUUAAUGAGGCGAACCGGGGGAACUGAAACAUCUAAGUACCCCGAGGAAAAGAAAUCAACCGAGAUUCCCCCAGUAGCGGCGAGCGAACGGGGAGCAGCCCAGAGCCUGAAUCAGUAUGUGUGUUAGUGGAAGCGUCUGGAAAGGCGCGCGAUACAGGGUGACAGCCCCGUACACAAAAAUGCACAUAUUGUGAGCUCGAUGAGUAGGGCGGGACACGUGGUAUCCUGUCUGAAUAUGGGGGGACCAUCCUCCAAGGCUAAAUACUCCUGACUGACCGAUAGUGAACCAGUACCGUGAGGGAAAGGCGAAAAGAACCCCGGCGAGGGGAGUGAAAAAGAACCUGAAACCGUGUACGUACAAGCAGUGGGAGCACGCUUCGGCGUGUGACUGCGUACCUUUUGUAUAAUGGGUCAGCGACUUAUAUUCUGUAGCAAGGUUAACCGAAUAGGGGAGCCGAAGGGAAACCGAGUCUUAACUGGGCGUUAAGUUGCAGGGUAUAGACCCGAAACCCGGUGAUCUAGCCAUGGGCAGGUUGAAGGUUGGGUAACACUAACUGGAGGACCGAACCGACUAAUGUUGAAAAAUUAGCGGAUGACUUGUGGCUGGGGGUGAAAGGCCAAUCAAACCGGGAGAUAGCUGGUUCUCCCCGAAAGCUAUUUAGGUAGCGCCUCGUGAAUUCAUCUCCGGGGGUAGAGCACUGUUUCGGCAAGGGGGUCAUCCCGACUUACCAACCCGAUGCAAACUGCGAAUACCGGAGAAUGUUAUCACGGGAGACACACGGCGGGUGCUAACGUCCGUCGUGAAGAGGGAAACAACCCAGACCGCCAGCUAAGGUCCCAAAGUCAUGGUUAAGUGGGAAACGAUGUGGGAAGGCCCAGACAGCCAGGAUGUUGGCUUAGAAGCAGCCAUCAUUUAAAGAAAGCGUAAUAGCUCACUGGUCGAGUCGGCCUGCGCGGAAGAUGUAACGGGGCUAAACCAUGCACCGAAGCUGCGGCAGCGACGCUUAUGCGUUGUUGGGUAGGGGAGCGUUCUGUAAGCCUGUGAAGGUGUGCUGUGAGGCAUGCUGGAGGUAUCAGAAGUGCGAAUGCUGACAUAAGUAACGAUAAAGCGGGUGAAAAGCCCGCUCGCCGGAAGACCAAGGGUUCCUGUCCAACGUUAAUCGGGGCAGGGUGAGUCGACCCCUAAGGCGAGGCCGAAAGGCGUAGUCGAUGGGAAACAGGUUAAUAUUCCUGUACUUGGUGUUACUGCGAAGGGGGGACGGAGAAGGCUAUGUUGGCCGGGCGACGGUUGUCCCGGUUUAAGCGUGUAGGCUGGUUUUCCAGGCAAAUCCGGAAAAUCAAGGCUGAGGCGUGAUGACGAGGCACUACGGUGCUGAAGCAACAAAUGCCCUGCUUCCAGGAAAAGCCUCUAAGCAUCAGGUAACAUCAAAUCGUACCCCAAACCGACACAGGUGGUCAGGUAGAGAAUACCAAGGCGCUUGAGAGAACUCGGGUGAAGGAACUAGGCAAAAUGGUGCCGUAACUUCGGGAGAAGGCACGCUGAUAUGUAGGUGAAGUCCCUCGCGGAUGGAGCUGAAAUCAGUCGAAGAUACCAGCUGGCUGCAACUGUUUAUUAAAAACACAGCACUGUGCAAACACGAAAGUGGACGUAUACGGUGUGACGCCUGCCCGGUGCCGGAAGGUUAAUUGAUGGGGUCAGCGCAAGCGAAGCUCUUGAUCGAAGCCCCGGUAAACGGCGGCCGUAACUAUAACGGUCCUAAGGUAGCGAAAUUCCUUGUCGGGUAAGUUCCGACCUGCACGAAUGGCGUAAUGAUGGCCAGGCUGUCUCCACCCGAGACUCAGUGAAAUUGAACUCGCUGUGAAGAUGCAGUGUACCCGCGGCAAGACGGAAAGACCCCGUGAACCUUUACUAUAGCUUGACACUGAACAUUGAGCCUUGAUGUGUAGGAUAGGUGGGAGGCUUUGAAGUGUGGACGCCAGUCUGCAUGGAGCCGACCUUGAAAUACCACCCUUUAAUGUUUGAUGUUCUAACGUUGACCCGUAAUCCGGGUUGCGGACAGUGUCUGGUGGGUAGUUUGACUGGGGCGGUCUCCUCCUAAAGAGUAACGGAGGAGCACGAAGGUUGGCUAAUCCUGGUCGGACAUCAGGAGGUUAGUGCAAUGGCAUAAGCCAGCUUGACUGCGAGCGUGACGGCGCGAGCAGGUGCGAAAGCAGGUCAUAGUGAUCCGGUGGUUCUGAAUGGAAGGGCCAUCGCUCAACGGAUAAAAGGUACUCCGGGGAUAACAGGCUGAUACCGCCCAAGAGUUCAUAUCGACGGCGGUGUUUGGCACCUCGAUGUCGGCUCAUCACAUCCUGGGGCUGAAGUAGGUCCCAAGGGUAUGGCUGUUCGCCAUUUAAAGUGGUACGCGAGCUGGGUUUAGAACGUCGUGAGACAGUUCGGUCCCUAUCUGCCGUGGGCGCUGGAGAACUGAGGGGGGCUGCUCCUAGUACGAGAGGACCGGAGUGGACGCAUCACUGGUGUUCGGGUUGUCAUGCCAAUGGCACUGCCCGGUAGCUAAAUGCGGAAGAGAUAAGUGCUGAAAGCAUCUAAGCACGAAACUUGCCCCGAGAUGAGUUCUCCCUGACUCCUUGAGAGUCCUGAAGGAACGUUGAAGACGACGACGUUGAUAGGCCGGGUGUGUAAGCGCAGCGAUGCGUUGAGCUAACCGGUACUAAUGAACCGUGAGGCUUAACCUUACAACGCCGAAG